Molecule: ribosomal RNA, 328 nt
Filed under: uncultured bacterium
Lineage: Bacteria
Description: bacterial SSU rRNA
Rfam family: Bacterial small subunit ribosomal RNA
Source: RNAcentral
CGUGUAGGCGGUGCGGUAAGUUGGGCGUGAAAUCCCCGAGCUUAACUCGGGAGGGCCGUUCAAGACUGCCGUGCUAGGGUGCGGGAGAGGGAAGUGGAAUUUCCGGUGUAGCGGUGAAAUGCGUAGAUAUCGGGAGGAACACCUGCGGCGAAGGCGGCUUCCUGGACCGUAACCGACGCUGAGGCGCGAAAGCUAGGGGAGCAAACAGGAUUAGAUACCCUGGUAGUCCUAGCCCUAAACGAUGAGCACUGGGUGUGGCCCCUCACGGGGCUGUGCCGAAGCUAACGCAUUAAGUGCUCCGCCUGGGGAGUACGGUCGCAAGGCUGAA